This 440-nucleotide ribosomal RNA is filed under the name uncultured bacterium. RNAcentral describes it as "partial 16S ribosomal RNA". It matches the Rfam family "Bacterial small subunit ribosomal RNA", at positions 338 to 795 of the family's 1533-position model. The record is from RNAcentral.
CCUACGGGAGGCAGCAGUGGGGAAUAUUGCACAAUGGGGGAAACCCUGAUGCAGCGACGCCGCGUGAGUGAAGAAGUAAUUCGGUAUGUAAAGCUCUAUCAGCAGGGAAGAAAAUGACGGUACCUGAGUAAGAAGCCCCGGCUAACUACGUGCCAGCAGCCGCGGUAAUACGUAGGGGGCAAGCGUUAUCCGGAUUUACUGGGUGUAAAGGGAGCGUAGACGGCAGUGCAAGUCUGGAGUGAAAGGCCGGGGCUCAACCCCCGGACUGCUCUGGAAACUGUACGGCUAGAGUGCAGGAGAGGUAAGUGGAAUUCCUAGUGUAGCGGUGAAAUGCGUAGAUAUUAGGAGGAACACCAGUGGCGAAGGCGGCUUACUGGACUGUAACUGACGUUGAGGCUCGAAAGCGUGGGGAGCAAACAGGAUUAGAUACCCCAGUAGUC